GACGAACGCUGGCGGCGUGCCUAAUACAUGCAAGUAGAACGCUGAAGGAGGAGCUUGCUUCUCCGGAUGAGUUGCGAACGGGUGAGUAACGCGUAGGUAACCUGCCUGGUAGCGGGGGAUAACUAUUGGAAACGAUAGCUAAUACCGCAUAAGAGUAGAUGUCGCAUGACAUUUGCUUAAAAGGUGCAACUGCACCACUACCAGAUGGCCCUGCGUUGUAUUAGCUAGUUGGUGAGGUAACGGCUCACCAAGGCAACGAUACAUAGCCGACCUGAGAGGGUGAUCGGCCACACUGGGACUGAGACACGGCCCAGACUCCUACGGGAGGCAGCAGUAGGGAAUCGUCGGAAAUGGACGGAAGUCUGACCGAGAAACGCCGCGUGAGUGAAGAAGGUUGUCGGAUCGUAAAGCUCUGUUGUAAGAGAAGAACGAGUGUGAGAGUGGAAAGUUCACAAUGUGACGGUAGCUUACCAGAAAGGGACGGCUAACUACGUG
This 495-nucleotide ribosomal RNA is filed under the name uncultured bacterium. Its description in RNAcentral is "partial 16S ribosomal RNA". It matches the Rfam family "Bacterial small subunit ribosomal RNA", at positions 28 to 507 of the family's 1533-position model. The record is from RNAcentral.